GGCAGGCACGCGCCGGAUUGUCUCGGAGUUGCCUUCGGGCGGCAGCACCCUUCGCGGUGUGGAUCACGAGCCGGGGGCCUGCCCUUUA
RNAcentral lists this small RNA (88 nucleotides) under Prosthecodimorpha hirschii. Its description in RNAcentral is "Prosthecomicrobium hirschii DUF3800-VII RNA". It matches the Rfam family "DUF3800-VII RNA". Lineage: Bacteria; Pseudomonadati; Pseudomonadota; Alphaproteobacteria; Hyphomicrobiales; Ancalomicrobiaceae. The record is from Rfam by way of RNAcentral.